This 976-nucleotide ribosomal RNA is filed under the name Escovopsis cf. weberi Ae292. RNAcentral describes it as "SSU rRNA". It matches the Rfam family "Eukaryotic small subunit ribosomal RNA", at positions 123 to 1106 of the family's 1831-position model. The record is from RNAcentral. RNAcentral also lists the same sequence under 3 other names. Lineage: Eukaryota; Fungi; Ascomycota; Sordariomycetes; Hypocreales; Hypocreaceae.
GAUAAUACCUUACUACUUGGAUAACCGUGGUAAUUCUAGAGCUAAUACAUGCUAAAAAUCCCGACUUCGGAAGGGUUGUAUUUAUUAGAUUAAAAACCAAUGCCCUUCGGGGCUCUCUGGUGAAUCAUGAUAACUAGUCGAAUCGACAGGCCUUGUGCCGGCGAUGGCUCAUUCAAAUUUCUUCCCUAUCAACUUUCGAUGUUUGGGUAUUGGCCAAACAUGGUGGCAACGGGUAACGGAGGGUUAGGGCUCGACCCCGGAGAAGGAGCCUGAGAAACGGCUACUACAUCCAAGGAAGGCAGCAGGCGCGCAAAUUACCCAAUCCCGACACGGGGAGGUAGUGACAAUAAAUACUGAUACAGGGCUCUUUUGGGUCUUGUAAUCGGAAUGAGUACAAUUUAAAUCCCUUAACGAGGAACAAUUGGAGGGCAAGUCUGGUGCCAGCAGCCGCGGUAAUUCCAGCUCCAAUAGCGUAUAUUAAAGUUGUUGUGGUUAAAAAGCUCGUAGUUGAACCUUGGGCCUGGCUGGCCGGUCCGCCUCACCGCGUGCACUGGUCCGGCCGGGCCUUUCCCUCUGCGGAACCCCAUGCCCUUCACUGGGCGUGGCGGGGAAACAGGACUUUUACUUUGAAAAAAUUAGAGUGCUCAAGGCAGGCCUAUGCUCGAAUACAUUAGCAUGGAAUAAUGAAAUAGGACGUUGCGGUUCUAUUUUGUUGGUUUCUAGGACCGCCGUAAUGAUUAAUAGGGACAGUCGGGGGCAUCAGUAUUCAAUUGUCAGAGGUGAAAUUCUUGGAUUUAUUGAAGACUAACUACUGCGAAAGCAUUUGCCAAGGAUGUUUUCAUUAAUCAGGAACGAAAGUUAGGGGAUCGAAGACGAUCAGAUACCGUCGUAGUCUUAACCAUAAACUAUGCCGACUAGGGAUCGGACGAUGUUAUAUUUUUUGACGCGUUCGGCACCUUACGAGAAAUCAAAGUGC